This 119-nucleotide ribosomal RNA is filed under the name Pteropus vampyrus (large flying fox). The record is from RNAcentral. Lineage: Eukaryota; Metazoa; Chordata; Mammalia; Chiroptera; Pteropodidae.
CUCUACAGCCAUCCCACCGUGAACAAGCCUGAUCCCGUCUGAUCUUGGAAGCUAAGCAGGGUCGGGCCUGGUCAGUACCUGGAUGAGAGACCACCUUGGAAGACCAGGUGCUGUAGGCG